AUGGGGCUGCGGACCUGCGGCGCCAUGGAAGGUGAGCACGUUGUCGCCUCGCCUUUCUUCGAGUGGUUGAAGCCGCCGCCGGCGUCGCCGUCCUCGUCGAGAUCGUCGUCGACUUUCUCGUCCUCGUCGUCGUCUAUGGCGUCUGGGCACCAAGAGGAUCGCAGCAGCGUGGCAUGCUUGCCCCUGCUCCGCAUGCUCGAGGAGGGGAAGGGGGCUGGUGGUGACCAUAAGCACCCUGCGCCUGCGGUCAAGGAAGAGAUCAUGGGCAGCGGCGCGGCCGGGGUGCUGGGGCCUGGCGUGGAUCUGAAUAUCGGCUUGCCGGUUGGUGGAUCUUGCGAUGAUGACAUCAUGGAGGAGGAGGAGGGCCAGGAGGAAGAUGAUGACCACGACUGUGACGAAGAGGAGGAGGAAGAGAUGGAUGAGUUGGAACCUACCCAUGGAGCUUGCAAGGUGGAGGCAGAGGAGAAAGAGGAGCACGGCGAGCCGGUGGUCUCGGUGGAAGGAACAAACAGCGUCAGCAUGCCGGAAUUCGGCGUGGUCGGAGCAGAGGGCGGCGUGCCCAUGGGCUGCGAGUACUGGAUCCCGACGCCGGCGCAGAUCCUCGUCGGCCCGGUGCAGUUUGUCUGCCAUGUCUGUAACAAGAGCUUCAACAGAUACAAUAACAUGCAGCGCAGUGAAGAUCUAUCUCCCAUCCCCACACCGCCGAAUGGCUCCGUCGAAGUUGAGCCUGACCUAUCCAACACCGGCCACUUUCCCAAUGGCAUUGCAGGCGUUUGGUGUCUGAAUGGGACCCAGGGCUCGUCUCCUAGGAGCUCCAAAGCUAAUCAAGUGUCAAUUUAUUCCAAAGAGAAGAUGCACAUGUGGGGCCACGGGCGGGAGUACCGCAAGGGCCCGGAGUCGCUCAAGGGCACGCAGACGCUGGCGCUGCUGAAGCUGCCGUGCUACUGCUGCGCCGCCGGGUGCCGGAACAGCGUGGCCCACCCGCGCGCGCGGCCGCUCAAGGACUUCCGCACUCUGCAGACGCACUACAAGCGCAAGCACGGCGCCAGGCCCUUCCGCUGCCGCCGCUGCGCCAAGCCCUUCGCCGUCAAGGGCGACUGGCGCACGCACGAGAAGAACUGCGGCAAGCGCUGGUUCUGCGCCUGCGGCUCCGACUUCAAGCACAAGCGCUCCCUCAACGACCACGUCCGCUCCUUCGGCGGCGACCACCUCCCCGUCGCCCUCGACGGCGCCACCGCCCCCGCCCCCGCCGAGGACCGCCGCAUCAUACGCUUCCAACGGUGA
RNAcentral lists this ribosomal RNA (1284 nucleotides) under Triticum aestivum (bread wheat). RNAcentral describes it as "partial small subunit ribosomal RNA". The record is from RNAcentral. Lineage: Eukaryota; Viridiplantae; Streptophyta; Magnoliopsida; Poales; Poaceae.